UUACACCUGAAAGAUAUCUGCUCGACCCAGAUCGUCUUGAUGCCAACUCUAGCCCAACCGACAUUGACCUGGAAUAACAAAGCUACUCCCCACCCUAAACUAAAGCAUUUACUAGUCCCAGUAUAGGCGAUAGAAAAGACACCAUUGGCGCGAUAGAGACCACGUACCGUAAGGRAAAGAUGAAAUAAUAAUGAAAUAACCUAAGCUAAAAACAGCAAAGAUCAACCCUUGUACCUUUUGCAUAAUGGUCUAGCAAGAAAAACCAAGCAAAAUGAAUUUAAGUUUGCCAUCCCGAAACCCAAGCGAGCUACUUGUGAGCAGCUAACAUUGAGCGAACCCGUCUCUGUUGCAAAAGAGUGGGACGACUUACUAGUAGAGGUGAAAAGCCAAUCGAGCUGGGUGAUAGCUGGUUGCCUGUGAAACGAAUCUUAGUUCACUCUUAAUUCUUCUCCAAGGAAACCCACAAACCCUAAUGAAGCGAAUUAAGGGCUAUUUAAAGGAGGUACAGCUCCUUUAAAAAAGAAUACAAUCUCCACGAGCGGAUAAGUACCCCCCC
This 556-nucleotide ribosomal RNA is filed under the name Poecile montanus kamtschatkensis. RNAcentral describes it as "partial 16S ribosomal RNA". The stretch from base 214 to 556 matches the Rfam family "Bacterial large subunit ribosomal RNA", at positions 569 to 1053 of the family's 2925-position model. The record is from RNAcentral. Lineage: Eukaryota; Metazoa; Chordata; Aves; Passeriformes; Paridae.